This 364-nucleotide ribosomal RNA is filed under the name uncultured soil bacterium. RNAcentral describes it as "bacterial SSU rRNA". It matches the Rfam family "Bacterial small subunit ribosomal RNA", at positions 26 to 381 of the family's 1533-position model. The record is from RNAcentral.
AGAUUGAACGCUGGCGGCAGGCCUAACACAUGCAAGUCGAGCGGUAGAGAGGUGCUUGCAUCUCUUGAGAGCGGCGGACGGGUGAGUAAUGCCUAGGAAUCUGCCUAGUGGUGGGGGAUAACGGUUCGGAAACGGACGCUAAUACCGCAUACGUCCUACGGGAGAAAGCGGGGGACCUUCGGGCCUCGCGCCAUUAGAUGAGCCUAGGUCGGAUUAGCUAGUUGGUGAGGUAAUGGCUCACCAAGGCGACGAUCCGUAACUGGUCUGAGAGGAUGAUCAGUCACACUGGAACUGAGACACGGUCCAGACCUCCGUACGGGAGCGAGCGAGGUAGGGGAAUAGUUGGAACGAAGUGGGACGAAAG